AAAAAGGGCAAACCACUCGAAAGGGUGGGACGCAAAGCCAUGGGUCUAAGUUCCUUUAUGGAAUAUGAUUGCCAAGCUGCCGA
RNAcentral lists this non-coding RNA (83 nucleotides) under marine eukaryotic metagenome. RNAcentral describes it as "Cyclic di-GMP-I riboswitch". It matches the Rfam family "c-di-GMP-I riboswitch aptamer". From Rfam's summary of the family: GEMM was predicted in a large-scale screen for bacterial structured RNA regulatory elements. Genes associated with GEMM are involved in a diverse array of functions, including chemotaxis regulation, signal transduction, secretion and chitin. The record is from RNAcentral.